CUACGUUUUAAUAUUAAUCGCAACGACAAAACUGUAUAAUCAAUCAUAAAUCAAUGCAAUAAAUUGCAUAAUUUGCGAAACAAUGUAAGCUUGCACUUCUCGGCAUAAUUAUUGUGCUUAACGGUAAAUCUGUAUAAAUUUCACUCGAUCACAUUCACCGCUCCGCACUGAGGACUCAACAACACACAGAGCGCGCACUUUCUUCGCUUGAACUUCGCGCGUUCACUAAUCGGCGAUGUGUAUGGCAAUCGGGCAUUGACAACAACGACGUGUUUUGUAAACAUAGCAAACUUGAGCCGACAAACACCUUUACAUAUGGAAAGAGGAGGACACAAUUUGCCGUCGGUGUUUCUGCACGCAUAUUCCUUAAAGCAACCAAUCACAUAAAAUUA
Bactrocera tryoni is the source of this 392-nucleotide long non-coding RNA. RefSeq lists it as uncharacterized. The record is from RefSeq and is a predicted model, not a curated record. NCBI's taxonomy places the organism in Eukaryota, Metazoa, Arthropoda, Insecta, Diptera, Tephritidae. The transcript has 2 exons.